This 520-nucleotide ribosomal RNA is filed under the name uncultured Glomus. RNAcentral describes it as "SSU rRNA". It matches the Rfam family "Eukaryotic small subunit ribosomal RNA", at positions 569 to 1091 of the family's 1831-position model. Lineage: Eukaryota; Fungi; Glomeromycota; Glomeromycetes; Glomerales; Glomeraceae. The record is from RNAcentral.
AGCAGCCGCGGUAAUUCCAGCUCCAAUAGCGUAUAUUAAAGUUGUUGCAGUUAAAAAGCUCGUAGUUGAAUUUCGGGGUCAGUAGUUUGGUCGUGCCACUGGUAUGUACUGGUCUUACUGGCUCCUCCUUCCUGAUGAACCGUAAUGCCAUUAAUUUGGUGUUGCGGGGAGACUGGACUGUUACUUUGAAAAAAUUAGAGUGUUUAAAGCAGGCUAACGCUUGAAUACAUUAGCAUGGAAUAAUGAAAUAGGACGUUCGAUCUUAUUUUGUUGGUUUCUAGGAUUGACGUAAUGAUUAAUAGGGAUAGUUGGGGGCAUUAGUAUUCAAUUGUCAGAGGUGAAAUUCUUGGAUUUAUUGAAGACUAACUACUGCGAAAGCAUUUGCCAAGGAUGUUUUCAUUAAUCAAGAACGAAAGUUAGGGGAUCGAAGACGAUCAGAUACCGUCGUAGUCUUAACCAUAAACUAUGCCGACUAGGGAUCGGAUGAUGUUAAUUUUUAAUGACUCAUUCGGCGCCUUAA